GAUGAACGCUGGCGGCGUGCCUAAUACAUGCAAGUCGAGCGAACAGAUGAGGAGCUUGCUCCUCUGACGUUAGCGGCGGACGGGUGAGUAACACGUGGAUAACCUACCUAUAAGACUGGGAUAACUUCGGGAAACCGGAGCUAAUCCCGGAUAAUAUAUUGAACCGCAUGGUUCAAUAGUGAAAGACGGUGUUGCGGUCACUUCUAGAUGGUUCCGGGCCGGAUUAGCUAGUUGGUACGGUAAAGGGUUACCAAGGCAACGAUGCGUAGACGACCUGCGAGGGUGAUCGGCCACACUGGAAGUGAGCCGCGGUCAAUACGCCUACGGGAGGCAGCAGUAGGGAACCGUCCGCAAUAGGCGAAAGCCUUACGGAGCAACGCCGCGUGUGUGAUGAAGGUCCUCGGAUCGUAAAACUCUGUUAUUAGGGAAGAACAAAUGUGUAAGUAACUGUACACGUCUUGACGGUACCGAGUCAGAAAGCCACGGCUAACUACGUG
RNAcentral lists this ribosomal RNA (497 nucleotides) under uncultured bacterium. RNAcentral's name for it is "partial 16S ribosomal RNA". It matches the Rfam family "Bacterial small subunit ribosomal RNA", at positions 28 to 507 of the family's 1533-position model. The record is from RNAcentral.